This 580-nucleotide ribosomal RNA is filed under the name uncultured beta proteobacterium. Its description in RNAcentral is "bacterial SSU rRNA". It matches the Rfam family "Bacterial small subunit ribosomal RNA", at positions 1 to 570 of the family's 1533-position model. Lineage: Bacteria; Pseudomonadati; Pseudomonadota; Betaproteobacteria. The record is from RNAcentral.
UCGCCCUUAGAGUUUGAUCAUGGCUCAGAUUGAACGCUGGCGGCAUGCUUUACACAUGCAAGUCGAACGGCAGCACGGACUUCGGUCUGGUGGCGAGUGGCGAACGGGUGAGUAAUACAUCGGAACGUGCCCAGUUGUGGGGGAUAACUACUCGAAAGAGUAGCUAAUACCNCAUGANAACUGAGGUUGAAAGCAGGGGAUCGUAAGACCUUGCGCAACUGGAGCGGCCGAUGGCAGAUUAGGUAGUUGGUGGGAUAAAAGCUUACCAAGCCGACGAUCUGUAGCUGGUCUGAGAGGACGACCANCCACACUGGGACUGAGACACGGCCCAGACUCCUACGGGAGGCAGCAGUGGGGAAUUUUGGACAAUGGGCCGAAAGCCUGAUCCAGCAAUGCCGCGUGCAGGAUGAAGGCCUUCGGGUUGUAAACUGCUUUUGUACGGAACGAAAAGCUUCGGGUUAAUACCCUGAAGUCAUGACGGUACCGUAAGAAUAAGCACCGGCUAACUACGUGCCACUCAGCCGCGGUAAUACGUAGGGUGCCAAGCGUUAAUCCGGAAAUUACUGGGCGUAAAGCGUGC